AUUGAAUGCUGGCGGCAGGCCUAACACAUGCAAGUCGAGCGGAUGAAGGGAGCUUGCUCCUGGAUUCAGCGGCGGACGGAUGAGUAAUGCCUAGGAAUCUGCCUGGUAGUGGGGGAUAACGUCCGGAAACGGGCGCUAAUACCGCAUACGUCCUGAGGGAGAAAGUGGGGGAUCUUCGGACCUCACGCUAUCAGAUGAGCCUAGGUCGGAUUAGCUAGUUGGUGGGGUAAAGGCCUACCAAGGCGACGAUCCGUAACUGGUCUGAGAGGAUGAUCAGUCACACUGGAACUGAGACACGGUCCAGACUCCUACGGGAGGCAGCAGUGGGGAAUAUUGGACAAUGGGCGAAAGCCUGAUCCAGCCAUGCCGCGUGUGUGAAGAAGGUCUUCGGAUUGUAAAGCACUUUAAGUUGGGAGGAAGGGCAGUAAGUUAAUACCUUGCUGUUUUGACGUUACCAACAGAAUAAGCACCGGCUAACUUCGUG
RNAcentral lists this ribosomal RNA (484 nucleotides) under uncultured bacterium. Its description in RNAcentral is "partial 16S ribosomal RNA". It matches the Rfam family "Bacterial small subunit ribosomal RNA", at positions 30 to 507 of the family's 1533-position model. The record is from RNAcentral.